GCCAGCAUGGUGUAGUGGUUUGAGUGUUGGACUAUGAUUCUGAAGACUAGGGUUCGAAUCCCUGCUUGGCC
Molecule: transfer RNA, 71 nt
Filed under: Phrynosoma platyrhinos (Desert horned lizard)
Lineage: Eukaryota; Metazoa; Chordata; Lepidosauria; Squamata; Phrynosomatidae
Description: tRNA-OTHER
Source: RNAcentral